UACGAAGGGGGCGAGCGUUGUUCGGAAUUACUGGGCGUAAAGCGAGUGUAGGCGGUCUUGUAAGUCGGGUGUGAAAGCCCCGGGCUCAAACCCGGGAAGUGCACUCGAAACUGCGAGGCUAGAGUAUCGGAGAGGUUGGUGGAAUUCCCGGUGUAGCGGUGAAAUGCGUAGAGAUCGGGAGGAACAUCAGUGGCGAAGGCGGCCAUCUGGGACAACACUGACGCUGAGGCACGAAAGCGUGGGGAGCAAACAGGG
Molecule: ribosomal RNA, 255 nt
Filed under: uncultured bacterium
Lineage: Bacteria
Description: partial 16S ribosomal RNA
Rfam family: Bacterial small subunit ribosomal RNA
Source: RNAcentral